GUCCAAUUUUGUGAGUUGUGGCAUUAGGAGAAACUUUAUCAACUUUGAGAAACGCAAUCUACAAAAAAUCGUACUUGUGUGUUUUUUUCUAAUUAAUUCGGCCAAGGUUCUUGUUAAAACGGCUUCUGUAUUCACCCUUCAAAUGUCAUCUACAACUGCACUGAUGACGGUGGAUUAAGUCCCUAGUACUACCCUAGACUCCCUUUAAAAGUCUCGCAAUUUUGUGAUUUCUGACGUUAGGAGGAACUUUGUCAACGUCUGAAACGCUGACUACAACAAAUUCCGAACAGUUGUGUAUUUCUCAUUAAUUCGGCAAACGUUAUACAUCACGAUCUUUCCUUAUUUGUGUAAUAAAACAACUUUAUAUCCGUCUAUCGUUGAAGCGAUAGUCGUGUUUGUUUGCAUAUGGAGCGGGAAAGUGGGAUUCGAUCACAAGAUGUGUGUUAAUGUCAGCUCGAUACUUACUGACGUACAGCUGACAGCUGUCCGUGUGUGAACGGAUCCCUCAGGUGUGAAUCCCCUCACAACAGUUUGUGUCUCAGGCGACACUUUGUUUGAGUCUGUACGCUUUACCGUACAAGGUGAUGUAGGCGCGCAAGCGAAUUUUAAAUGGCGCCACUACUACCGACCCGUCCGCCUGUAAACACCUAAAGUGAAAGUAAGUUUUUAGAGGCGCGUCAUCCACCGUGUCCGCUCGGUGUGAGACGACGACGAGGAGUACUUUAGUGGAGGAAACAAAGAAAGUCGACAGAAAAAUUGCCAUGGAGAUGGAGAAGAGAUGCAAUCUGAUCAGAACUAUACAGGAGUCAUGUCGUGUGGCAGUGUUGAGAGAGUACGACACUUUGCACGGUGCCUUCGAGGUCAAAUACAGUCCACCAAGUAGUGUACCACCCAGUGUUGAUCCUCCAAAGACACAAAGUGCACCGCUCUGUAUCGUACCUCCCAUUGUCUCUGUGACGAGUGACUCACCUGACUCUCAACUUCAGAGGUCACAAAGUGAAUGGUUACAUGAAACUGACUCCAGAGCUUCUACUGCCUCAGUGAAGAGUGAAUCAUUGAUGUUUGAGCGGCCCUGUUUUCAUCUUCAGAGGGGACAGAGUGAACCGUUACGUGAAACUGACUCCAGAGCUUCCAAUAUCUCUAUGAAGAGCGCUUCAUCCAUGUUCGAGCCGCUCAACUUUAAUCUUAAGAAGAAACAAAGUCAGCUGACUGAGGAGAUCUCCAGCUGUUCAGUGUGUGAGGAGGCUGUGAGGGAUCCAGUCCGUUUGCUCUGUGGACACUGGUCCUGCAAACAGUGCUCCCACUCAUUCUGGGAACAGUACGGUUCAACAGCUGACUACUCCUGCAAGACGUGUGGAAGGAGAUUCAAAGGAGAACCUGAACACCAGACGGAUUCUGAGGACGACAAGAAGAAUCUCAACCUGCCUUCAGCAUCACGACCAGCUCCACAAAACUCAUCUGGACCUGCUGGAAGAGAGAAGAGAGAUCAGGAUCUCCGUUCUGUUCUGCUGGAGAAGACGAUCAAGAGAGUGGAGAUGGAGACGGAUAAGUUACAGGCAGAAAAGGAGUGGUUACAGGCUGAAAAGGAGAAGUCACAGGCAGAAAAGGAGUGGUUACAGGCAGAAAAGGAGAAGUCACAGGCAGAAAAGGAGAAGUCACACGCAGAAAAGGAGAAGUUUGAACUUGAGAAAAGGAAACUCGCUUUAGAAAUCCAAUCAUUGGAGCAAAAGGGCAAAUACACCAACAAUGAUCAAGGUGUUUUGAUUCCAAACAAAGAAAACCCAGAAUGUUUGUAUCCACCUCUUUCCUGGAUAUGUUUUGACGAAGUUUAA
Molecule: long non-coding RNA, 1832 nt
Organism: Sparus aurata (gilthead seabream)
Lineage: Eukaryota; Metazoa; Chordata; Actinopteri; Spariformes; Sparidae
Source: Ensembl